RNAcentral lists this ribosomal RNA (1012 nucleotides) under Staphylococcus pseudintermedius. RNAcentral describes it as "partial 23S ribosomal RNA". It matches the Rfam family "Bacterial large subunit ribosomal RNA", at positions 545 to 1560 of the family's 2925-position model. Lineage: Bacteria; Bacillati; Bacillota; Bacilli; Caryophanales; Staphylococcaceae. The record is from RNAcentral.
AGAACUUGAAACCGUGUGCUUACAAGUAGUCAGAGCCCGUUAAUGGGUGAUGGCGUGCCUUUUGUAGAAUGAACCGGCGAGUUACGAUCUGAUGCAAGGUUAAGCAGAAAAUGUGGAGCCGUAGCGAAAGCGAGUCUGAAUAGGGCGAAUGAGUAUUUGGUCGUAGACCCGAAACCAGGUGAUCUACCCUUGGUCAGGUUGAAGUUCAGGUAACACUGAAUGGAGGACCGAACCGACUUACGUUGAAAAGUGAGCGGAUGAACUGAGGGUAGCGGAGAAAUUCCAAUCGAACUUGGAGAUAGCUGGUUCUCUCCGAAAUAGCUUUAGGGCUAGCCUCAAGUGAUGAUUAUUGGAGGUAGAGCACUGUUUGGACGAGGGGCCCCUCUCGGGUUACCGAAUUCAGACAAACUCCGAAUGCCAAAUAAUUUAACUUGGGAGUCAGAAUGUGGGUGAUAAGGUCCAUAUUCGAAAGGGAAACAGCCCAGACCACCAGCUAAGGUCCCAAAAUAUAUGUUAAGUGGAAAAGGAUGUGGCGUUGCCCAGACAACUAGGAUGUUGGCUUAGAAGCAGCCAUCAUUUAAAGAGUGCGUAAUAGCUCACUAGUCGAGUGACACUGCGCCGAAAAUGUACCGGGGCUAAACAUAUUACCGAAGCUGUGGAUUGUCCUUUGGACAAUGGUAGGAGAGCGUUCUAAGGGCGUUGAAGCAUGAUCGCAAGGACAUGUGGAGCGCUUAGAAGUGAGAAUGCCGGUGUGAGUAGCGAAAGACGGGUGAGAAUCCCGUCCACCGAUUGACUAAGGUUUCCAGAGGAAGGCUCGUCCGCUCUGGGUUAGUCGGGUCCUAAGCUGAGGCCGACAGGCGUAGGCGAUGGAUAACAGGUUGAUAUUCCUGUACCACCAUUAUUCGUUUUAAGCGAUGGGGGGACGCAGUAGGAUAGGCGAAGCGUGCUGUUGGAGUGCACGUCCAAGCAGUGAGAUUGAGUGUUAGGCAAAUCCGGCACUCUUAAGAUUGAG